CAACUGCAAAUACUGGCACUGUUUAGAGGUGAUUGCCCUGGGAAUCUGGGAGUUGUAGCUCACCCUUAUCCAGAGAGCCCUUAUCCGACGACAGAUCUGGACCAGACUUCAGUGAUAUUACCUAACAUUCCUAAACAAACAAUGCCUUCUUUUAAUAACCCGAACACUGUCGGGAGCCCAAGCUAGUUUAAAAUAAAAGUGAAAUGCUUCAAAAUUCCCAAAAUGUGGAGGAGGAAGCAGUCACCUACUUGGAUGUUAAUGAUCUUCCUGUUUAUAUUGACAAAAAAAAUUGAAUGCCUUCAAUAAGGCUGGCACUCAUCCAAUGCUUCCAGCCAUGGCACGCCCCAGGAGACAACAGGAGAUGAAGGGAGACAGUGUGAGACUGAUCAAGUUAACUACUUUUUUCCAAAAGAAGAAAUGGCUUCUGCUGGCAAGUCAUUGGCACAACCCUCUCCAAAGCAAACGGAUUGACAAAGCAACAGGAGGCGAGGAAAGCAGCAAAAGGUUAACCACGUGGAAUAUGAGAUAGGGAAAACAUGACAGGCUUGCUGUGGUUCAUUCAGAUAUUAUGUACAUUCGUAUCUUUCUUUUCUUCUAAGGUCCUUAAGGCAGGACACAGAACUCUUCUUUUCUACACAUUCUGUCCUCAGCACAACCCUAGGAGGGCUGUGCUGGGUGUUCUCGGGAGAACUUUUGAUUCCACCCCGCACAUUUACCGGAGUGCAAAAGGGAAGGGAAGAAAAUACAUGGGAUGGAAACCUAUACAAUCAACCUCCAUAUCCACAGAUUCUACAUUCAUGGAUUAAAUCCCAAAAGCAAGCCUGGAUUUUAUAUAAGGGACACUACUAUACCUAAGAGACCAGGGAUCAAAUCCCCAUUUGGUCAUGAAAACCAGAUGACCUUGAGGAGGAGGUCACACUCUUUCAGCCUUCUGAACUACAACAACAACACAAACACCCAAUUAUAGGUUCACUUUGGCUCACCAGAAUUCAGAAACAGCUUGAAGCCACAACAACAAAAGAUGGUGAUUCCUAGCAUCUUGCACCAUUGACCAUAGAGAUAAUGGGAACUUCAGUCCAACAAUAAUCUGAAAACCCAAGCCAUCCAAUUCUACAUAAAUCUAAGUGUUAAAGACUCCAAAGACUCCAAAGUGUUUACCUGUGUAUGAGUCAGAUUCCAUUAGAAUUAACUGCCCCCAGGUUAUGGGUAGAUUCAUUGGCUGCACUUCAAUAUAACAAUUUAACUCCCAGCGCAUUUUCAGAGGACUCUGCUCUAUGUGCCUCUUCACAAGUCAUUGCUCUGUCUUGUCUCCUUCUAUUUCCACCACUAUAUUAUUUUUCUGCAUUUCCACACCUAGGAGAUAAUUGGAUCUCUUCACAACGUGAGUGCAGAACACCAUCCGAAUGAUCCACCUAUGAAGAAGACAACCUAUUACAUCUUUACAUGAGACAGUGUCUCCAGUCAUGGCGUGUUGGGACUUCUGCUACAUCUCCAAAUCAAAAGAGUGUGACUCAGUUGUGCAAACAGAGAGAACUGACUCAAUUUACCAGAGUUUGCUAAGUCUUUGUGACCAUUUUGAAUCAGAUCCAUAACUCGGAAGUAAUUUGGAAUCCUUCAUAGGAAGUUGUCUCAUUUUUAUUUAAAUAAUUCUAAAAGUAAAUGCUUGAAGGUGGGGCGGAGAACUGGUUUUCAUGCAGAUGUUGUCCAAUCUGUGGCUAAAAUCCUUGAUCAUGAGCCAUACAUGAAGCCCACCAACAUCUGGAUAGCAUGUUCCUCAUAUCCCUCUAAGGCUGGAUCUACACUGUGCUAUAAUCCAGAUUAUCAUAGCAGAUAAUCCACAUUAUCUGCUUGGAAAUUGAUUAUAUUUAUGGGCACUACCAUAUAAUCCGGAGCCCUGGUGGAGAAGUGUGUUAAAGCGCUGAGCUGCUGAACUUGCAGACCAAAAGGUCCCAGGUUCAAAUCCCAGGAGUAGAGUGAGCGCCCGCUGCUAGCUCAAGCUUUUGCCAACAUAGCAGUUUGAAAACAUGACAAUGUGAGUAGAUCAAUAGGUACCGCUCCAGCGGGAAGGUAACGGAUAAAGAAUACUCCAGCGGGAAGGUAACGGAUAAAGAAUACUCGUCGGAUCAAGAAAUAAUGGAUCAAUUCUACAAAUUUUAUAAAACCCUAUACGCAAAAGAACAGAUAGAAAAGGAGGAGAUUGUUAAGUAUUUAAGUAACCAGAAACUAGCCAAAAUCUCAGAUAAACAUAGAGAACAUCUAAAUAAAGAAAUAUCUAAAGAAGAACUACACAAUGCAAUCAAGAAAUUAGACUCCUCAAAGGCGCCAGGACCUGACAGAUAUAUAGCAUGUUAUUAUAAAAUAUUUGAACAAGAAUUGUCCCCAUUUCUUAUAAGAAUAAUGAAUCAAGCAAUGCAAAAUCAGAUAAUACCAAACUCAUGGAAGGGGGCUACAAUAACAUUAAUCCACAAAGAAAAAUCAGAUCCUCAGGACAUUAAAAAUUACAGACCAAUCUCGCUCCUAAACACAGACUACAAAUUAUUUACAAACAUAUUGGCGGAAAGAUUGAAACUUUUUUUAACAGAAUGGAUAAAAGAAGACCAAGCCGGAUUCCUUCCCAGAAGACAAAUAAAGCUAUUAUAUAGAUAUUCCGCAAUGGAUGGGGAAGACCGGCAAUGGGGUGGGGAGGAACCUGAGUUUGAUCGGAAUGGAUUUUGUGCAGGUUUUUGUCUCAGCGAGAAUAAAUUUUCACAAUGAAAAAAAUCCAUCAUUCUGCUCUUUCUCCUUUUUUUUUUUUUUAAAAAAAGAAAAACCUUGUAGGAAGAAAAAUGACUAAUUGGUGCUGUCAGGAUACCAUUUUUCCUGUUUUCGUAAUUCUUUGCAUUGUUUAUCCUUUGCUCUCUCUGUGUGCGUGUGGUGUGUUUCCUUUGGCAUUAGCAGCGCAUCUUCGUCAUGGGAGAAGAUAAGUGUAAAGAGAAAUUGAAGUUGAUUUUGCAUGACACAAAUUUAAUAUCAAAUUGAUGUGGCGUUGCAGCUUUGCGUGUGAGUGUGUCGAGACAGAAACAACACAGAUAAAGGAAAGAGGAGACAGAGAU
This is a long non-coding RNA of Anolis carolinensis (green anole), 3092 nucleotides long. RefSeq lists it as uncharacterized. The transcript is spliced from 3 exons. The record is from RefSeq and is a predicted model, not a curated record. NCBI's taxonomy places the organism in Eukaryota, Metazoa, Chordata, Lepidosauria, Squamata, Anolidae.